GACGAACGCUGGCGGCGUGCUUAACACAUGCAAGUCGAACGGUGAACCUCUUCGGAGGGGAUCGGUGGCGAACGGGUGAGUAACACGUGGGCAACCUGCCCCCGGCUCUGGGAUAACUCCAAGAAAUUGGGGCUAAUACCGGAUGUUCACCGCUUCCCGCAUGGGUGGUGGUGGAAAGGGUUUCCGGCUGGGGAUGGGCCCGCGGCCUAUCAGCUUGUUGGUGGGGUAGUGGCCUACCAAGGCGACGACGGGUAGCCGGCCUGAGAGGGUGACCGGCCACACUGGGACUGAGACACGGCCCAGACUCCUACGGGAGGCAGCAGUGGGGAAUAUUGCGCAAUGGGCGGAAGCCUGACGCAGCGACGCCGCGUGGGGGAUGACGGCCUUCGGGUUGUAAACCUCUUUCAGCAGGGACGAAGCGCAAGUGACGGUACCUGCAGAAGAAGCACCGGCCAACUACGUG
This 463-nucleotide ribosomal RNA is filed under the name uncultured bacterium. Its description in RNAcentral is "partial 16S ribosomal RNA". It matches the Rfam family "Bacterial small subunit ribosomal RNA", at positions 28 to 507 of the family's 1533-position model. The record is from RNAcentral.